GGGAAUUUUAGCUUAGAUGCUCUGUACAGAGAACAGAGGCUGAGCUGCCCUGCACCAGAGAAUAUCUAGAGAUCUGAUUGCUCUCCCUACAGUGGUAUUGUCACUUAUCAUAAGUUAUAAAUCUAAAACUAUUUUUACAUUUUUAGUAUUUGGUAACACUUUUAAAUUUUUAAUAACUCUCAAAACAUCAAAAGUGCAUUAAGACGUCAGAUUAAGUAGUGCAAUUUUUGACUCUUACAGAUAAUUAAUACAAAAUAUUUGUGGACAUUUACCACCCAAUGGUGGGCAGGGGGAGCGCAUGCUGAAACAAUAUUAGCAUCUGCCUCAAAAAUGAAUCGUUAUUUUAAGAAGAUUAUGUCUGAAGACCACAAUUUAAUAGAUUUACAUUGAUCAUCCACUAUGUUCCAGAUACUACAUGAUACUAACAAGACAACAGGAGAAGUGAUAUCAAAAGACAACGACUACACCAAAAUUUGGAGAAAAAGGUGAAUCCAGACAGUCACAGAAAGGGCCUCCUACCCUACAUCACUCAAAUUGGAAAAAGGUGACUUGAAGAACAAUUGCUCUGAACCUGAAGGUUUUCAAAGCAUUGACACAGAAUGAAGGACUUGGAAGAAAGAAAAAAUUGGACCCUGAAAACCUGUCCUGCUUUUGUUCAAUCAGUGAGAAAGAUACCAGCCUUUCAUGUUCUCAGCAGUAUCUUUUCAACAAAUAGAGACUGCUAGACUUCAGAUUUUUUUAAAGUUGUUGGUUUUUUUACCUCUAUGAAAGAUUGUAAGGAGAGUAAAGUAUAAGUAAGAGAAAAAUCUUGAAGAUAAUAAGGAUAUUGCAGUCAGUAAUGCCAUCAAGGCUCUGAUGCCAAGGCUCUUUAAGAGCAGGUUCAGUUUCAGUAAAACAGUAAGCAAAAGUACUGUGAUUUGAACUUCCUGAGUAAGCAUACAAUACAAUUUGAAGAUGUAGUUGAACAAUUUUUAGCAAAAUGAAUUUUACAUUGAUAUUAGUAUAUACAUAUAAUAUUGAAUAGAAAUACCACAUUUUUGCUGUAAAUUAUUUUGCUUACAAAAAGCUGUAAUGACACUCCCUAGUGAGAUGAACCCGGUACCCAUGCUAGAUGACGAGUUAGUGGGUGCAGCGCACCAGCAUGGCACAUGUAUACAUAUGUAACUAACCUGCACAUUGUGCACAUGUACCCUAAAACUUAAAGUAUAAUAAAUAAAUAAAUAAAUAAAUAAAUAAAUAAAUAAAUAAAUAAAAGCUGUAAUGGACAGUUUGUUAAGUGUCUAUAAAUUGAUACAC
This 1296-nucleotide long non-coding RNA is filed under the name Homo sapiens (human). RNAcentral's name for it is "HSALNT0045349". The record is from RNAcentral. Lineage: Eukaryota; Metazoa; Chordata; Mammalia; Primates; Hominidae.